Molecule: long non-coding RNA, 17836 nt
Filed under: Gossypium barbadense (sea-island cotton)
Lineage: Eukaryota; Viridiplantae; Streptophyta; Magnoliopsida; Malvales; Malvaceae
Description: long non-coding RNA (GBAR_LNC022616)
Rfam family: Plant small nucleolar RNA R71 (bases 10656-10762)
Source: RNAcentral
GAUGAACCCUGUUCAUAAGAAAAUCCCUGUUCUUAUCCAUAACGGUAAACCUGUUUGUGAGUCGCUCAUUCAGGUUCAGUACAUCGACGAGGUAUGGCAUGACAAAGCUCCUUUGCUCCCUUCUGACCCUUACCAAAAAGCUACUGCUAGAUUCUGGGCUGAUUAUGUUGACAAGAAGGUACGUUCUUUUUCUUUUUUUUUUUGUUCUUUUGGAACUGUAUACAUAAAUAGGAGAGGAAAGUAUUGUGCCUGAAAUAAUGUUAAAUGCAAUGCAGAUAUAUGAAGUGGGGGGCAGAGUAUGGAAGACAAAGGGAGAAAAGCAAGCAACAGCAAAGAAAGAAUUGAUAGAAACCCUGAAGCUGUUGGAAAAGGAGCUUGGGGACAAGCCUUACUUUGGAGGAGAAAGUCUUGGAUAUGUGGAUGUUGCAUUCAUUCCGUUUUAUAGCUGGUUUUAUGCUUUGGAGAAGUGUGGGAACUUCAGCAUUGAAGCAGAGUGUCCCAAACUGAUAGCAUGGGCUAAAAGGUGCAUGCAAAAGGAGAGUGUAGCCAAGUCCCUUCCUGACCAACAAAAAGUCUAUGAUUUUAUCCUGGAGAUGAAGAAACAUUUUGGAAUUGAGUAAUUCCAGCCUUUGUUUAUGAUUUUAAAUAAAAUGGGGACAUUUAUGUUGUGCCUGCCCUGUUCUCAGGUCUUCUAUUUUUCCUCUUUCAAUCGAUCAGAUGGUUUGGGAUUUGUCAUUUGCAGUAUGGAGUUUUUAAAUUAAAAGUAAUCAGUCCUAUACACGUGCUUACUCAUAUCUUAUUUCAACCGUAUUAGUUUUCUUAUAAUAAAAAGAGUGUGACAAAAUAGAUUCAAUCACUCAAUUUUUUCUGUUACAAUAACGAAAAGUUGACCAGUUAUUUAACUGGCAUAAAUAUAUAUUCAAUUGUUUUUUACUAAAAUAUUUUUUUUUUAUAAUUAGUGUAAGUUAUUGGUAAAAGAUAAAUAAAAUGUUUCUAAAAUUUGUAUUUAUUUAUUUUUUUGUGAAAACCUGAUGUAAUUAAAUUGGUUUUAUAAAUGCAUAAAAUAAUAAUGUUAUUUUAAGUUUUAAAAUAAGUAAUUUGUAUAUUGUAAGUGUUGAAUAAUACUUUUGUUUUGCUGAAGUUAUAUCGUAAUUUUAGAUAUGGUAUUUUAAUUUAUUAUUAUUAUUUUAUCAUAUUUACUAAAAAAUACGAAAGCAUAAAACUACAUGGUUUAGAUUAUAUAUUUUAUACUUUUAAUAUUAAGAAUGGUUCAUAAAAAUGUUGAAUCUAUAAACUUGUUAUCUACUCAACAUAAUUUUUUUUUAUUUGAUGAAGAUAUAUUUCUCUUUAAUUUAAUAUUAUAAGUGGCUUAAUAAUGUUUUUUUUUCGGUAGAAUUAUAUCUAAAAUAAUUUUUAAUAUGAUUUAAUUAAUAUUAUUAAAAAUAAUUAUAUUAAUAAUAUUUUAUCAUAUUAAUUGAAAAAGAAGUGAGAGUAGAAAACUACAUGCACAAUUAGAUUUUAGGUGUUAUACUUUUAAUAUCCAUAAUAAUAUUAUUUUUAAAAAAUAUUCACGAAUUGAUGUACUUUUUUUAUUCAAUGAGAUAUUUAUUUGAUGAUUUUUUUAAUGUUAUAGGAUUAUUUUUAUGAAAGUUUAUGUUAAUAUUAUUGAUACAAUAAUUAUAAUUAUUUUUAAAUUUUAUUUUUAAAUUUUAUUUAUUUUAUUUUAUUUUAUUGAAAAAGAAACUUGAAAUUAAAAAUAUUCAUUAAAAAUGAAAUCAAAUGAUUGAUAUUUGGUACACUAGUAGUGUAACUUUUUACUAUUCCACAAACAGUUUUAAAGAAUAUCAUGUCUUUGUUUCUUUAAAUAUUUAUUUUUAAUAUUUUAUUAUAUAUUUAUAAGACAUUUGUCAAACCAUUAACAUUACUUAUAGAAUUUAAAAACUCCAACAAUAAUGUAUCAAAUAUUUUUUCGAAAUCAAAAUGACAAAUGAAAUAAGCUAGUUGACAUUUUAUUGAGAAAAAAAAAUUGAAAUUAAUUUUUUUUAAAUUUAUCAAACUAUACUUUUAUCUUUUAUGUUAAAUAUAUUUAAUAAUUUUAUGUAAUUAAAAUUUUAAUAAUUAAUAAUAUAUUUAAAGAAAUAAUGAAAAAAGUCCUCAAACUUUUUUAAGAAAAGCAAUUAAGCCUUUAUUCUUUUUUUUUUUGCGCUCAAUUGAGUAUUUGAACUGCCAAAACUCAGUAAAAUAGCCCCUUGACCGACUUUGACCAUUAAUUUUUAAUGGUCAAGAUGAUAUGGCUAUUAAGUUUGACUUUUUUGUUUCAUUUUUGCAAACUAAGACGCUACCUCGAAUGCCACGUGUACUAUUGAUGACAUCAUCAUUUUUUGUUCCUGAUGUGGCUUUUUUAUUUGUUAUUAUAACUAAAUUAAUUUAAUUAAUUUUAUGUACAAUUUUUAUAAUGAGUUGAAAAAAAAAUAGAAAUCCUAAUCCUUAAACUUAAUUGUCACAUUUAAUUUUUGAAGAGAAAAAACAAGAAACAAAAAAUCACCAAAUAAUAAACUCUCUUGAUCAUCACAAAUGUUGGAAGAAAUUUUGUUUUCCAUUUGAAUCAUUAUUGAAAUCUCAUUUGCCAAGAACCUUUAGUUUUUUUUUUCCAGUUGAAAUCUCAUAUUGGAAAUCAAAAUCCUUUUACUGAAUAAAAAGUCCCUUUGCUAAAUCCUUAAAUCUUUAACAAUAUAUUGCUAAAUCGAAAACCCCUUAGCUAAUCAAAAACCAUAUUCUCCAAGAACAUUUGUUCAAUUGCAAACCCUAAUAAAAAAAAACCCUUAUCUUACUCGAAACCCAAAUCAGACAACCUUGUUUUAAAAGGCUAAAAGGUUUCCUUGAAUUUAAGAACCAAAAAGCUCAAUUUCAGUGCUUUAAAGGCUAAUUGAGACGUUAAAUAGGUAAGUUUUUGUGAAAUUUCUAGAUUGAGUUUUUUAUUUGGGUUUUUGACUAGUUUCUUUAUAAUAAGAAAAUAACUUUUUCUUGACAUGUUUUCUAAAUUGAAAAAGGAAGGGGCUUAUUGUAAAAAUUUUGACGAAAGGCUCAUGUUUUGGGUGGCUAGGUAUGCAACAAUAAUUAGAUCCAAUUUGUAAUUUUGUAUUGGAAUCUAUUUGGUGCAAUAGAAUAGUAUAUAGUAAAAAAACAAUUUAUUUGAGUGCAUAUGUCAGGAUCUAGAUUCUCUUUCAUAAACAACAAUAACCCCCAUUUUUCUUGUUAUUGUUCGGUUUUAUUAUAUAGUUAUCUUUUGUGUAUGUCUGUCAAAAAAAUUAAAUACUAACAAUAAACAUAACAAUGAUUUUGUCUUUUGUGUAUGUCUGUUAAAUAUAAUUUAUCUUGUUUAUUGUUUAUUUAUUGGUAUUUACUAUAAUAUAUUUGUUAGAAUGCUAUGUGAAUACAAUCUGAAUGUUUGUUUGUAUGACAUCAUUUAUUAUUUAUGUAUGUGAUGUCUAUGAAAUUAAUUGAAAAUUCGAGUAAGGCAAGUGCACUUAUCAAUUAAUAGUAUAGUUACAGUGAGCAAAUAUAUCGUUCCCACGAAGACUAAAAGUACUAGUAAUUACCGUCUUUAUAUUAUUUAACCGAAUAAUUCGAGUGAUUAAUUAAAAACUAAAAUUAACUAAAUUAAUUAACUAACAAAUGCGACAAAGAAAACAUCCAAUAGAUAUAACCGAAAGAAAUAAAGAAACUUAUGAUAAUCUCCAAAAAAUAACCGGGAAUCUUAUAUAUUGACGAAAAUAUGCUUCAGAAUCAGCUUCAAUGAUAUUUUUUCAAGUUGUUUUCUUGAAUAUUCUAUGAUGGCUCUCUCCCAUUGUCUUAUUUUUGUCAUAUAUACAUCUUAGAAUGCGCGAAAAACCUAAAAAUCAUAAUUUUCCAUUGUUCAACGUGCUAAUGUACGCAAUCUACAUGGCCGUGUGGAAUGGGUCAACCCAUGUGGCUCCUGUAGUUUAUUUCGAUUUUCUAGUUUUCGCUCGUUUUUCACUCAUUUUACUCCCAAGUGCUCUAUUAAGCAUCAAAACAUGAAUUUAAAUGAUUAAGAGCAUAAAAUUCACAAUUAACAUCAAAUAAUCACCCAAAAACGCAUUAAGAAAAAGAUUAAAACAUGUUACUUUUAACAUUUAUUAAAUAUCCCCACAGUUACGCGUUUGCUUGUCCUUAAGCAAAAUUCUCAAUCCAAAUUCAAGUUAACCACACUCAAUUUAUUGUUUUCACCAACAAUGUAUUAGGAUAAUCUACAGAUAACCAUGCAUUGAAAAUUCACACUAAAAUAAUACUAAAGAAUACAAGCAAUAAGCAGAGUUUUUUAAGGCUUAAAAACAUGAGGCAUCUCCCCUAUCUCAAUAAUUACCUGGAAUUCAAACUCAAGAAUAAAUAAUACCAACACUAAAGAUUCACUCAAAGCACACAAAAGUGUUUAAGUUUCAAGUAAUAUGCACUCAAUAGUCGAACAAGAAAUGUUAUUACCAUAAGCUUACUUGAAAAUUAAAUCUCCAGCACUAUAUAAAUGAGAUGACACACCAAUCAAGAGGUCGUUACAAGGUUGUAAUGGGGUUAGGUUUAGAGUAUGGAUAUGGUUAGAAAGGUUGGUUACAAUCGAGAAUCGAGUUGAUAAGUUACCAAACUAGAAAAGAAAUUCAAUUGCUGAAUUAUAAGAAUUUACAUCAACAAGAAGUAAAGAGAAUAAAUGAGCUUUUACACAAAAUAUGAGAUUAACGAUUCAAGCUCAAUUUUUUUUAUUUUCAUUUUUUCUUUUCACUUUUUUUAGAACAAAAUAAAUUUCAGCAAUUCAAAUGAUGAAACAUAGUUAGGCAACUGACCAAAUCAAAUUUCGACAAAAAGGGAGUUAGUAAAAAUGAUAAUUUUACAACAUAUAUAUGGGUUAGGGGUUAACAUAAAUGGGUGAGAAAAAAAUGUAUUAGGAUCAAUGGGGUUUACUAGGGGCUAAUUUAACAAGUAAACUAGUUAAAUGUUAGGUGGGUUAAAUCCUAAGUGCCUUAAUCAUCUCAGUAUAUCAAAUCAAUAAUAAGGUCUCGACAUGUAUAACCAAAGCAAGUUGUAGAAUAAUAAAUCAAGUUGAAAUAAUCACAACCAGAAAUAAAAUGAGCACAAAAUAGAAUAUAUGCUCUAAAGCUCAAAAGCUCACAAAAAAAUUAUGGUUUUGAUGUCAAAUUUGUAAAUUUAAAAUUUCAAGAUAAUGCUUCAGUUCAGGGAGGCAACCUAAAAUAAUAAUUUCUGAAAAACUACUUAUCAAGCUUAAUUCUCUCAUGUCUUAAAGUAUAAAUCACACAAUGCACAAAAAUACAUAAAUUAAUCCCAAAACAGAAUCGGUAAAACUCCAAAUUUAGAAAAAUCAACUCUAAUGGUAGGUGUGAGAAAAUUACUUAAACCUAAACAACAAUUGAUGGAUUAUAUCACAUAACAUAUAAAAUCCUCCCCACAAUUAAUAUGUACAUUGCCCUAAAUGUACAAACAAAUAUAAUCACAGAAUAAGCACAAUAUUAUAAGGGAGGGAGAGAACUAAAACAACCCUGAAUUUGGAUGAUUUCAUUAGAAUAGUGAAUUUUGGAAUCGUAGGAGAUUCUAAAUGAAGUACAUGUUCCGUGCACACUAAUAAGAAUAUAGAAAAAAAUAAGAUAAAGAGAUAACAAAAUAGAAAAAUAACCGACAAAAUAAUAAAAAAUAAAGUUUAGAAUAAAAACAAAACAAAACAUAUAAGUAUCAAAAAUAAAAUAAAAACAACUAAAAUAAUAACAGUACAACUAAAAAUAAAAAUAAAUAAAACUGAAAAUUAAAUAAAGUCAAUGAUCAACAUCGUGCAAUGUGUCAAAGUCACGAGGCUCAGAAUCGAGUGGAGAAAUAUGGAAAUGCUGGCACAUCUGUUGUAGGUAUGCUUUAAGGUGAUCCUGAUGGCUUUGAAGCUGGCCGAAUUGCUCCAAAUGUAAUUGCUCAAGGUGAUCUAUUCGCUCUGUUUAUCACUGCUUAAGGUGGUCAACCCAAUUAGAGUGUUGUUGUUGUAUACGAUAGAUGUCGUCAAGUGUGACUGAAUGUGCAGCAGUGGAAUGACUAGGAGGAGGAGAAGAUUGAGUAGGGUCCAUAAGUCAAAGAGGACCAUUAUCCAUGAUCUCUUCAUGUUCAUCCUGAGGGUCCCGAUGAAACAGUGUAUAUCGUUGGAGACCUGCUCUAUGUUGACAUUAUUUCAUCCUCACGUGCCUCAUAAUAGAUAAUCCUUGCGGGAUCAUCUAACCAACUAAGGUGAAUGAGGAAGUCUGCUCCAGAAAGUCAAGCAACCCAAAAUAUCUCGCCAGUGGAGUCAAAUAAGGACGCAUACAGAUACGACCCUUCUUGCUCUGAUUGGACUAGUGCCGACAACAUAAAGCCACGAAGUAGGUGACAUCAAUAGGAUGACGCAUCUCCAUACUCUACAGAAAAUAAGCCUUCGAUGUACUAACGACCUUUGUGUUUUCCCUCUGACCACUCAAUGUAUGGGUCUGGAUGACAUGAAUAUAGCACAAGGCUAGAGGUAAACAAGUUGCCUUUGACUAGCUAAGGUUGUACAAUGCCUCAGCCUCGGCGAUCUUAGACCAACAGAGUGGAGUUGGUCGAUUGAUGUGUUUGGGCAGUGCUAGAAACUUAGGGUUAUGCAUGAACUCCUUGAAAUAAAGUCCAAGAGCGGCUCCGAAGCCUGGGAUGCUUAAGUAACGUGUCUUACCCUCAAGUUUGAAAGAAAUGGUACAAGGCUCAUCCUAAUAUGAAAUUGUUAGUUGUAGAAAGAACGUCAAGCAGAAAUCUAUUAUGAGUUCUACAUAUGUGGGCUCUACAAUGGUCAAAAAUCAAUCCCACGAUGUUGUGUCAAUCAGAACUCGAAGUCUGGCAGCUAAAUGAACUGCAUACAAGGCUUUCUAAUUAAUGCAACAACCUAAUCCCAAAGGUGGCUCCCUAAGAUGUUGAUAAUUGUCCUCAUGUGGACCUAGAGGAAAUUAGAGACACGAAUGUCUCGUGGCUAUAGUCUGGGCUGAAGACGAAGUGGCACUUGGUGUCUUUCAUUGUUUAGAGACGAGGGCAGCAGCCUUGGUUUUACCUCUAGUGUUUGUCUUUAUGUAUCUAAAAGAAAAGAUAACAACCAAAUAUCAUAUAACCAAAAAAAUCAACACCACCACUAAUUUAGCAGAUGAAAAAAGUCAAAUUACAUAACCAGAAGAAUCGACAAAAAUAUCAUCUCAUGACAAAAGUCGGAUCACAUAACUAAUAUAACUAACAUCUAUUCCUCAUACGAAAACUAAAACUAAUACUUAGCAGACAAAAAAAUAACUAAACUAAACUAAUUAUUUAACACUAAUACUAUGAAUAUUAAUACUACUACUAAUAAUAAAAUAAUAAAUAAAAUAAAAAGAAGAUGAAUAGUGACAACCAGUGGUUUAGGGCAGACGGUGGCGGCAGUAGCUCGUACGAUAGUAGUAGGAAGAAUGAUAGAUAGUGAGAAAUGGGUAGAUCAGAUGGUUGUGGAUGUGGUGAUGGAGUGAGAACAGUGGUCGGUUAGGAGGGAUGAGAGACGGAGGACGAAAAGAAAGGGGGAAAUAGGGACGGCAACGUGGAGAGAAAGAAUGGGAAAAAGGGGAAGAAAAAGAGGGAUCUGACAAGUUUGUGAAGGAAAAUAGAAGGUUAAGUGAGUAAGAAAGGAGAAGGGUUGGGGAAGAAGGGUUGAGGAGCCUAGAAAAGGGGGUGUCUGUAGUGUUCGAGUUUUCAGCGAGAAAAAUUUAAGGAAAGGACGUGGAUGAAGAGAGCUUGAUGGUGUUGAUAGUAGGGCUUGGAAGUGAAUGGAUGAGCUAUGGAGGUGACGUGGAUGACGGUUAUGAGGGGAAGAAAUCGGUGGUGAUGGAACGGCUGGUAAGGUUGAAUGGAGUUGGUGAAACAGCGUGGAAGGAGAGAGGACAAAAAAUUAAGGUUUUUAGAUUUUAAAGGUAGGCACGGUCAUGUAUUUGGCCUGUGUUGGGCCACACGGUCAUGUACCAAAGCCGUGUAAGUCUACAAAACCCAUGUGUCAAUCGAAUUCUUUAAAAAAGUACUCACACAUCUUGGAACAUGCCUGUAUGUCAAGGCCGUGUGGUCUAUUCCAAAUCAUGUGAUGCUUUCAUUCGUUUCUCCCACGGCCGUGUACAUGGGCGUGUGGGUCACAUAAUCGUGUCACCAGGCUGUGUUUGCCACGAAUUUUUUUAAAAAAAUUACUUUAAUAGUCACACUACUGUGUCUCCAGGCCGUGUGCAAUCACUCAGGCCUUGUGGGGUCAUUGUUCGCUUCUCCCACAUCCAUACCAAGGGGUGUGUGGGUCACACAGCUGUGUCUUUAGGCCUUGUAACCCUCUAUGACCCUGUGUGUUAAAAGAAAAUUGAAUAAAUUGGCUCCAAUAUUCACAUGGCUUGUGACACACUCGUGUAUCUAGGUUGUGUAUCCUAUACAACCGUGUCGUCAGGUCGUAUAGUGUUUCUUAGACUGUGUGGACCAUUUUUUAAAAAAAUAUCAUUUUUGAAUAUUUUUUAUUUUUUUUAAAUCAACAUUUGGGUUGUCUCUCAAGUAGCGCUUAUUUAGAGUCUAAGCUCGACUUUCCCCUUCAUAAAUACGAUGAACUCAAAUUUUUGAGCCGAAACUCCUUUAUCUCAUUAUCAAUAUUACCACCAAAAUAAAAUUCGAGUCGAUGACUAUUUACCUUAAAUGUAUCAUAAUCAGGGUGUAUUACUUAAAUAGUUUUGUAUGGGAAGACGUUCUAUAACUCAAAUGGAUUCGACCAUCUUGAUUUGAGCUGUUCAGGGAACUUUCUUAGAUCAAAAUUGUUUAGUAGCACUUUGUCUCCAACUUUGAGUUGGUUUGUCCUCUUUGAAUGCUCACCAAGGCAUUGUUUUGUUACUUCUUUAAACGUUCUUGGUUUCUCAUAAACCUUUGGUCGUCAUUCAUCUAAUUUAUCAAGCUGCACCAUUUGUUCUUCACUUGUCCCUUGAUUUUCAUCACAUUGAACAAGAUACGAUUCUAACAUGUUUUCAUGAGUGAUUUCCUACAAAGAAUGUUGAGUCACACGGUUACUAACAUUAUCAGAAUAAUGACUAUCAUAUUGCUCGCUAGAAACUCUCACAAAAUCACGUGCUUGAAAAGUAACCUCUUCAUCACCUACCUUCAACACAAGUUUACCAUUACCCACAUCAAUAACAGUUCUAAAAGUCGUUAAAAAGGGUCGGCUUAAGAUCAUGGGUACCUUAAUAUCCACAUCUAUGUCCAAUAUAACAAAUUAACAGGGAAUAUAAAUUUAUCGACUUUAACAAUUACAUAUUCAAUAAUGCCCUUAGGAUAUUUAAUUGAUUUGUCAACUAAUUGAAUACUUAUCUUAAUGGUUUUUGGUUCCUUGAGACCAAGUUGUUUGAACAUUUUAUAAGGCAUCAAAUUUAUACUAGCACCCAAAUAAGCCAAAGCUUUUUUAACAUUUAAGCUACCAAUAAAACAAGUGACAAUAAAACUCUUUGGAUCUUUAAGCAUGGUAGGUAGUUUGUUUUGGAGAAUAGUCGAACACUCCUCAUUGAGCUCCACGGUGGACAGUUCAUCUAACUUCAUUUUAUUUGUUAACAACGCCUUUAAAAAUUUUGUAUACUUGGGCACCUGCGAAAGGGCUUCAAUAAAAGGUAAGUUAAUAUGCAAUUUUUUUUAAAAAAUUUCAAGAAAUUUACCAUAUUGUUUGUUCAUGCAGUGUUUAUUCACUUUUAUCGGAUAUAUAAUUGAUGGUUUGUGUUCUCUGAUCACUAGUUUAUGCUAUUUCUUGCAUUCUUCAACCCCAUAUUUUUCUCAACAGCUUCUAGAUUCAACUUGUUUUCAGGCUCAACUAACACAUUUCCACUUCGUAUAGAGAUUGCAUGGACUUGUUUUUUUAUGUUGAUUUCAGUGUUACUAAGUAAAUUUCCUUAUUGUCUCUCCGAAACCAAUUUAGCAAGCUGAAAAUAUGAUUCUCGAGUCCUUGAAUAGAUGUAUGCUGAUUUCUCAAAGUUGUUUCAGUGUUUUGGAAUCUAGUUUCUGACACUGAAAUAAAUUUCAUUAACAUCUCUUCCAGAUUUGACUUUUUUUCUUACUGAUAAGGUUGUUGAAAACCUGGAAGGAGUUGUAACAUUUGAUUUCCUUGACCACCCCAAGAGAAAUUCGGAAGAUUCCUCCAUCCUAGAUUAUAAUUAUUGUUAUAGGGGUUAUUCUAAGGUCUAAAAUUGUUACCCAUAAAGUCGACUCGCUCAUGCUUCAUGUUAGAACAGAAGGGUAAACAUUCUGAAUUAAUCAUCCCUGAUUUAGUCGCAUCAUAUUGCAAUACUGAAUUCAUUUGCUUAGCCAUAUUCAAACCAUCAAUUUUCUGACUCAAAGCUUCUACUUGACUUGCUAACAUAGCAACUGCAUCUAUAUUAAAAACACCAGUUGCCUUAGUAGACUCUGUUAUCAUAACUUGCCUCUGAUAGUUAUUCAGUGUCAUCUCCUCAAUAAAUUCUUGUGCUGCCUCAGGUGUCUUAUUAUUCAGUGUUCCACUAGCUGCUAUAUCAAUCAUCUGCCUAGUCGAAGGGUUCAAACCAUUGUAAAAAGUUUGAACUUGGAGCCACAAAGGUAGUCCAUAAUGAGGACACCUUCUCAGAAGAUCCUUAAAUCUCUCUCAUGCAUCAUGCAAUAUCUCAAGCUUAAAUUGAGCAAAAGAAGAGAUGUCAUUCCUUAAGUUAGUUGUUUUGGCCAAUGGAAAAUACCUCCACAGAAACUUUUCAGUCAUUUGAUCCAAAGUCGUGAUGGAACCCCGUAUAAGUGAAUUCAAUCACUAUUUUGCCUUGCUACACAAGGAGAAUGGGAACAACCAUAAAAGUAUGGCAUCAUCAGUAACAUCAUUGAUCUUGAAUAUGUCGCGGAUCUCUAGAAAGUUAGCUAAAUGAGCAUUUGGAUCUUCAUCUUGCAACCCAUCAAUCUGAACAUAUUGUUGCACCAUCUGAAAAUUGUGUUUGGCUUAAUCUCAAAAUUGUUUACAGUAAUAGUCGAUCUAACGAUACUUGAUUCAGCCCUAAUCAGAGUAGGCUUAAGAUAGUCAUACAUAGUACGAGGAGCAGGAGGUGUAGGAGGUUGCUGAUUACCACGAUGAUUAUCCAUCUCCACAAUAAUGUCCUUUUGCUCUUAAUUGUCUAUUAAAAUCUAUUGACUUUGCCUUGCUUCUCUAACUUCUAUAUGAUUUCUGCGAGCAGGUUUUUCGAUCUCACUGUAAAAAACUAAUAGUUCCAACGAGUUGUCUCUAGUCAUAAACCAAAAGAACAUGUAAGAAUUAAACAAAAUAAAAAUUAAAAUGUAACAAUUAAAUUAAAAACAAAAUUAUUAAAAUUAAAAUAACAAAUGCAUAAAUUAAUAGAAAGAAAGUUUUCCUAAUAUUCCAGUCCCGGCAACGGUGCAAAAAACUUGAUGUCCAUGAAAGUAAUUAAAAAUUCGAAUAGGGCAAGUGCACCUAUCAAUUAAUAGUAUAGCUAUGAUAAGCAAAGAUAUCGUUCCCACGAAGACUAAAAGUACUAGUAAUUACCGUAUUUCUAUUAUUUAACUGAAUAAUUCGAGUGAUUGAUUAAAAACUAAAAUUAACUAAAUUAAUUAACUAACAAACACAAUAAAGAGAAAAACACGAAAAUAAUCGAUUAACAACCAAUAAGCGAAAUAAUACCCAGGAAAGAAUUCUCCUAGAUUUUAUCUGUCACUAUCAAUCUAAAUUACGCAAUUUCUUUACUUAGUAACUUAAUUUGUAGAAAUCCCUAAAUUAUGCAAAUAUCUCUUUCGAGAAUGAGAGCAAAUGUUCUAGGUUGAUUAAUUGAAAUUUCUUUCAAAUUAAAAAUCAUAUUAUCGCAUUAACUUGUGUUAUGGAUUCCCCUAUCAGAUUUGACUCUAAUUCGGUAGAUUUAUGUAAUCCUAUAUAUAGGACUGCAUGCAACUCCACUUAAUUACGCAAGAUCUACUCUUAAAUAGGGCCUAUUCAACCUUCGAUUUAGCACAUCAAACAUUAAUAAAAAAUAGAAAUAUCAAACCAAGAAUUAAGCACAUAUAAUUGAGAAUAAAAAACUAAGCAUCUAUUUCGUAAAUAAAAAUCAAACGACCGAAUCCAUCAUAGGUUUCAUCUCUUUAGGUAUUUAAAAAAUUAGUUCAUGCUUGAAAAUAAAAAUAUCGCAAAGAUAAUAUAACCGAAAGAAAUAAAGAAACUUGUGAUAAUCUGCUAAGAAAUCAAUUGAGAAUCUUCAAUUUUGACAAAAUUCUGCUUUAGAAUCAGCUUCAAUGAUGUUUUUUCAAGUUGUUUUCUUGAAUAUUCUAUGAUAGCUCUCUCCCAUUUUCUUAUUUUUGUCAUAUAUAGGUUUUAUAAUGCCCGAAAAACCUAAAAAUCUUGAUUUUUCGCUGUUCAGAGUGCAAAUUUACGCAAUCGACACAACCAUCGCAUGGCCGUGUGGGUCACACAACUAUCUAGAAGCCUAUGUUUCACCAUGGUACAACAAGGAGCAAUAUGUAGCAACAUACAGUCAAGUUUUACAAUCAGUUAUGGGGAAAUUUUUUUAGCUUAACAGAGCUUAUUUAAUUCUUCCUCCAUCUGUAAAAAAGAUUCUUGAAAGGCCUAAGAAAAAUAGAAGGAAAUCUAAGGAUGAACCAAAAAAGAGCAAGUUUGGAAAGGACACUAGGAGAGGCCUUAAAAUGUCAUGUUCAUUGUGUAAACAAGUAGGACACAACAAGAAAUUGUGUCCAACAAGAUCAAAUAUGAGUAAGAAUUUACAAGUAAUUCGUGGACCACUUUAUUUGAGAUAAGCUUUUCUUUAUAUUCAUAUUUGUUUAACCAAUAAAUACAUUAUAAUGAAUGUCUUAAUUUCUUUCUAGGAACAAAAUUCGAAUGUUGGUUCAUCCUCCAUGCAAGUACAACAACCUUAAUUAGAAGCUACUAUACCACAGGUAAAAGAUACAUUAAUGUAGUAUGGUGUAAUAUCUACUUGGUUGACUAUUUGAGAAUUUUAAUUUUUUAGUUUUGAUAAUUGCUCAUAAUUUUUGUUCUCUGUUGGUAGAUUCAACCAUUUCAAUAGGCAAUUUGGGUAGUCUAAUUUCUUCUUUGUCAUUUUGUUUAAAUAAUUUAGUUUAAAGAAUUAUAUAGGAUUUUAGAAAUAUCAUUUGGUUCAAGAUAAAUAGAUUGAGAAAUCAACUCUAUUUCUUGUUGUACUUUGUCAUUUCUAAUCAUAUUUAGCAUACAAUGUGCUACCUUGUCAAUUAGCUUGAUUUCUUUUUUGUUUCAAGUCAUAACUAUUUUUUUUUAUAGUUUGUUGUCAAAAGUCCAAGAACUCACAACAUGGAAGGAAAAGAAAAAGAAUCAUGUGUAUCAGUUUCUCAAUGCAUCACCAAUGCAGAAGGCACAAAAGAAGAAGAAGAAAACAACCACUUAGUAUUGGGGUGUACACAAACCUCAAAAUUGGUGAACAAAUACCACAUGUGAGUAUAUGUAACUAUUCUAAAUAUUGAUUUUGUUGCCUGUUGACUAAGUAAUUUAUAUCUAUUGAUUUAAUUGUUUUCCAUUUUCCCUAAAGCUUGGUACAAGUAGUGAAAGAACCACUACUAUUGUAAGGAAGAUUGGACAAUCUAAUACUUCCCAAUAUCAACAUUCAUGGAAAGGCCCUAGAUUGAAGUGGAAGGGGAAAAAGGUCGUGACAACAAGGCAAAUUAUGCAACAACACUUUGAUGUUGUCUGAAAGAAGAGGGGAAAUCCUUCUAAACAAGUGCAAAUAAGGACACAAGCAAGCCAAACAAAUUCUAUUAUAAUAGAUUAUUGAAGUGCAAACUGAUGCUAGCGUAAUUUUAGUUUCUCUAAUAGUAUAGCUUAUGGUUGACAAGGGACAAGAUUGGUACAUUUUAUUCAUAUGGGAACCGUUUGUUGAUAAGGGAACAUCUUGUUUAUAUUGGAACAUUUUGUUGAUAAGAUGCAUUUUGAGGAUAUUGCAUAUUCAAAUAUGCUUUUUAUGUAAUUUUUGACGUUUUGUUUCUUUAUUGUUUGUCAUUGAAUUAUGGUUUAAUUAAUAUUUAAAAUUGAUAUGGAAUUACAAUUAAAUAUUGUUUGCAUUUGAAGAUGGAAUCUUGCAGUUUUGAGGUUAGAGUUGCUAUUUUUUUUUUCUCUUUGGUUCAAUUCAUUACAAAAAUUAUAAUUAAAUUUUAUUGUAAAAAAAGUAUAAUUAAAUUUUAUUGUAUAAAAAGUAAUUAAAUUAAUUUAGUUAUAAUGACAAAUAAAAAAAUCAUAUCAGGAAAAAAUGCUGAUGUCAUCAAUAGUACACAUGGCAUCUGAGGUGGCAUCUUAGUUGGCAAAAAUGAAAUAAAAAAGUCAAACUUAAUAGACACAUCAUCUUGAUUGUUAAAAAUUAUUGGUCAAUGUUGGUCAAGGGUCAUUUUACUGAAUUUUGACAGUUCAAGUACUCAAUUGAGUGAAAAAAAAUCGAGACUUAAUUUUUUUUAAUUCAAGAACUUUCUUCUUUCUUAAGCCAUAAAAAUUAAUCACUAUAUUAUAUUAAAAUAAAAUUAUGCUUUCUAUAAAAAGAAAGUUAAAGAUUUUAAUUAUUCAAUAAAUUGUAAUACACAAUAAUAUUAAUUAUGAGGAAGGCUAGAGAGAUGGUAAAAACAAUUAGCCAUAAAGAAACCAUAAUAAACUUAAACAAAUUUAAAGAAAUAAAUAAAAUAAAAACAUGUAAAAAAAUAAAAUUAAAAAUAGAACUUCCUAAAAAAAUAAAAAUAAAAUUUGAAUCUAAAAUGAAAGCUAAUAAUAUUGCAAAAACAAUUUAACAUUCCCAAUCUUGAUAUUCUUCAAUAUAUCUUCCUCCACAUUAUCUUCUUUUGAUUGAGAUCUUUAUUGUUUAAUAAUGCAAUUAAUCAUAUUUUGAUUCAUAUUGCUUCAUUCAACUCCACAAGAAAAAAUAUUGUUAAUAUCAAAUAAAAAAAUAUUAUUAAAUAUAUAAUGCAAUUAAGUGCAUUUUUACUCUUGUUCCUUCAUUCAAAACUUCACAAGAAUUACUAAUAUCAAAUAAUUAAAAUAUUAUUAAAUAUCAAAUAAUAAAAUAAUCAAAAUUAAAAUAAUAAAAUUGGAUAUAUAAGAUAAUAAUGAUUUUUGUAAGAAAACAAAAUUUAUUUGUAAAAAUAGAAUGUCGAUAAUGAUAAGAAAGAGAGAGAAAAAUAGAACAUACCGGUUUUAUGUGGAAACUCAAAAUCAUGGGUAGAGAAGAAGAAAAUUCACUAUGUAUGUUGAAUUCGAAUAAUACAAAAGGAGAGAUGACCACGUCCAUUUAUAGGUUUGUAAAAUCAUGUUCUAAUCAAAGUCAAAUAAAAGUAAUGCAAUAAGGUUAAAAUACCUUAUUCUAAUCAAAAGCAAAUAGAGGAAGCAUACUUCUAUACGGAUUUCACUUGUCCGACUUUUGCCCUUGUAGAUCCCCCUAUCUUUUCAUUUGUAUUUUUAUUUAACAAGAAUUUGGGUCACAUAUCUUUAACACUAUCAAAUAACAAUAAAAGCUUUAUAUAUAUAUGUAAAUGUUACUUUUUUUAUAUAUAUAUAAAUGUCUAGAAUUAUUUAUAGUCCCUCCCUACCCUUUAAUAGGAGGAUAAAUGCGCUUCAGUGCACUCAAACACAUGUCCUUUUGAAUAAGCAGCAAUGUUAAUGCCAAUCGAGUUAAGAGUUAGUCAGCUUUAAAUAUUACUUGAAUGAAAAUAUUUUGUUAAUUCAACUAUUAUAUCAUAUCAUAUAGUUUAUAUUACAUUACAUUAUUAUAUGAAAAAAUAUUUAAUAUAUAAAUUAAAGAAUUAAUAAGUAUUCUAUAAAAAUAUAAUAAUUAUAAUGAUGUGACUCACAAUGUAAUUUAUGGUUAAAAAAGACGAGCAGGCCGUACUUUAGCUUCAAACAAUCACCACCAGACGCACACUACCGACGUAAGGAAUGGCUACCACUCGCUCUAUGGAAGGUCCUAGAAUUAUUAUUUUGUUGUCAAUAACGCGUCCAAUGUUAGAACAUGAAAUGGACAUACUACCUCUAAUUUUUGAUAUUAUAUGUUUACUAUAAAGUAACCACCGGAAGUAAACAAAGUCAACUUAUACAUAAACAAGUCUUGAGAUGAAAAUUAAAUUGCACAUUUUUAUAAUAAUAAAAAUAUAAUUUUAUUAUUUAAUAGUUUAUAUUUUAUAAUUCUUGAAGGAUUAAAAUAAAUUUUUAUCAUUUUUAUAACUAUUAAUUUAAAAUAUUAUAAAUUAUAAAAAAUAUUUUAAAAAAAUUCAUUGGGAACUGGAUCCCUUACUAACCUCCUUGAAAUCCUCACUAACAUAAACCUAAUCUAACCAAACUCACCCUAAUAAAACUUAUAAAUAAACCUACACAUAAUUUAGAGUUUUGAGAUACAUGAUUUCCAAAAUCUAUAUCUAUAUCUAUAUCUACUAUUUAUUAAUUAUUUUAUUUAAUUAAUUUCACUUAUCAACCAAAUUGAGCGAAAUUACCCAACAAUAUUUUUAUUUGCAAAAUAAAUUAUAUAAUUAUGUACUUUUAUAAAUUAAUAAAAAUUUAUCCAUAGUACAAUUUGAACCAAAAGAGACUAUGCAUAUUUAACUUUUUUAUUUAUCAUUUAAACUAAAAUUAUUUUUAGUUUUCAUUUGAAACUUUUAUAAAUAUAUUUAUAUUCUAAAAUUUUAUAUAUAUAUAUAUGAAUAAUUCAUAUAAUAAAAUUUUUAAUUUAUAUUAAAUUUAUGAUAUAAUUAAUGAUACAGUCAACCAAACUCCAUUUUACAUAAAAAAUUAUUAAAAUAUAUUACACAAUACAAUGUAUUAUUAAGAAAAAUAUUUUUAUUUUAUUUUUUUACAUUUUAUAUACAAAUUCGAUUUAAUUCGUGAUUCAAUGAAUUCUGAACAUUAAAUUUUAGUAGAAAAAAUUCCACUCCCGUUUCAAUAAAUAUAUUGCUAAAUAAUUUUCUUUCACCUAAACCAUAUUUUGAUCAUUAUUUAGGAUAGUUAGGUAAAAAAACUCUUUUCAAUUUUUCUCGAAUUUAAAAUUUAAUAAAUUAAGAGUAAUUUAAUAUUUGUUAAUUUUGAAAGUGAGCAAUUAAGGAUAAUUAAUUUUAAUUUUAAUUUUUUUAUUAAUUAUACAUGAUUUUGAUUAGUAUAAUAAUAUAUUUAACCUUUAAAGUUUAUAUAUUCUAUCAAUUUAGUCUUAAUUUAACAAAUUUAUCCUGCAACAUUUAUGUUGAGGCUAAAUUAUGUUAAACUUUUUAAAAUUAAGGCCAAAAUGAUAAAAUAUGUAAACAUUAAAUGUUAUAUUUGUUAUUAUAUUAAUCAAAAUUAUAAAAUUGAAAAAUAUAUGAAUUUCAUGAUUAAUUGUUUUUACUUUUAAAAUAGAUGAAAGAUUAAUUACUUCAAAUAUUUUAGAGGAACUAAUUUGUUCCAUUUAAAACAUUGAAGUCAUAGAAAAAUUAAAUAAAAGAAAUAUCAUAUAAAAACCUACCAACCCUUAUCAUUUUCUUUCCUAUAAAUAUACUCUGACACCCCCUUCAGAAUCAGAGGAAUCCAAAAGAAACCCAAGAUUAUAAAUUUAGUAUCGAUUUGAGUAUUUGAAUAGUUUAGAUUACAAGAAUGGCAGGGGAACUAGUAUUGUUGGAUUUCUGGCCAAGUCCAUUUGGGAUGAGAUCCAGGAUUGCUUUGGCUGAGAAAGGGAUACCAUACGAGUACAGAGAAGAAGAUUUGAGGAACAAGAGUGAUUUGCUGCUGCAGAUGAACCCUGUUCACAAGAAAAUC